AUUGAACGCUGGCGGCAUGCCUUACACAUGCAAGUCGAACGGCAGCACGGGGCAACCUGGUGGCGAGUGGCGAACGGGUGAGUAAUGCAUCGGAACGUGCCAUUGAGUGGGGGAUAACGUAGCGAAAGUUGCGCUAAUACCGCAUAUUCUGUGAGCAGGAAAGCAGGGGACCGCAAGGCCUUGCGCUCUUUGAGCGGCCGAUGUCAGAUUAGCUAGUUGGUGAGGUAACGGCUUACCAAGGCGACGAUCUGUAGCGGGUCUGAGAGGAUGAUCCGCCACACUGGAACUGAGACACGGUCCAGACUCCUACGGAGGCAGCAGUGGGAAUUUUGGACAAUGGGCGCAAGCCUGAUCCAGCCAUGCCGCGUGAGUGAAG
RNAcentral lists this ribosomal RNA (376 nucleotides) under uncultured bacterium. RNAcentral's name for it is "bacterial SSU rRNA". It matches the Rfam family "Bacterial small subunit ribosomal RNA", at positions 30 to 410 of the family's 1533-position model. The record is from RNAcentral.